Molecule: non-coding RNA, 21 nt
Filed under: Arabidopsis thaliana (thale cress)
Lineage: Eukaryota; Viridiplantae; Streptophyta; Magnoliopsida; Brassicales; Brassicaceae
Source: RNAcentral
CUGUGCUGCGAACUGAAGUCU